UACGUAGGGUGCGAGCGUUAAUCGGAAUUACUGGGCGUAAAGCGUGCGCAGGUGGUUAUGUAAGACAGUUGUGAAAUCCCCGGGCUCAACCUGGGAACUGCAUCUGUGACUGCAUAGCUAGAGUACGGUAGAGGGGGAUGGAAUUCCGCGUGUAGCAGUGAAAUGCGUAGAUAUGCGGAGGAACACCGAUGGCGAAGGCAAUCCCCUGGACCUGUACUGACGCUCAUGCACGAAAGCGUGGGGAGCAAACAGG
Molecule: ribosomal RNA, 253 nt
Filed under: uncultured bacterium
Lineage: Bacteria
Description: partial 16S ribosomal RNA
Rfam family: Bacterial small subunit ribosomal RNA
Source: RNAcentral